Molecule: long non-coding RNA, 697 nt
Filed under: Struthio camelus australis
Lineage: Eukaryota; Metazoa; Chordata; Aves; Struthioniformes; Struthionidae
Description: lncRNA (ENSSCUG00000005068.1)
Source: RNAcentral
AAGGGAGCUGUCGGGCGGUGGAGGGUUUUCCAUCCUCUUCCUCUGCCUGGGAUGGCUCCACGCCGAGCUGUCCUGGCCGAGAGGGAAAAUGCAGCGCGCAGCUGGUGGCGCAGGUCGAGCCUAGGUGAAACUGGGCCCUGGGCACGAGGCGCCCGCCCGCGCUGCGUCCCCGCACCGCUCGCCCUCUCUCCUGGGUCCGUCGUUUCCAGCAGCUGCUCUCCAAGAAGGGAGGUCGACGGCCAAAAACAAGAGCACUGAGUUCUGGAGGACGAGUUGCCGCCCCGACACGACUCUGAGCGAGGACGGAGAGACUGCGCUGCACUACCUUUGCCUCUUCUUUUCAGGAAUCUCCCCUUUUUCCAGCUACCACCAACACCAUUGGACUAUGCUGAAUUCUGGCAACCAUAUCCAAAAGGAGUGGAUUAUUCUAAGUGAGCCACGUUACAGGAAGCCAGCGUCAGGAACCCCAGCUCCAAAUGGGCCACGGUGUCAGAUUUCUGCAGGUGGCCUGACCUGGUCACCAUCUCCUCAGAAACACCAAAGGACCCAGCACCUCCCCUGAAUAACGAGGAGAACUCAAGCACAGGAACUGGGUGCCUUGAACAAAACUAUCUCAGAGGUAGCCAUUGAACAAGAAUUGUUGGUUUCUCUGUGUUGAGUGUUGAAUGACUUGAAGAAGAUAUUUUAUGACCCUAAC